This 501-nucleotide long non-coding RNA is filed under the name Homo sapiens (human). Its description in RNAcentral is "non-protein coding lnc-PATE4-1:1". Lineage: Eukaryota; Metazoa; Chordata; Mammalia; Primates; Hominidae. The record is from RNAcentral.
CUUAAAUGACAGGCAUUCAAAUUAAACUACCUGAUCAGAAAGUGCUCUGAAGUUCUGAUUAAUUUAAGAAUCUUGAGUUGGGGAGGCUUGCAUUAUCUCAGUGGCCCUAAAUGCAAUCACAAAUGUCCUUAUAAGAAGGAAGCAGAGAAUUUGAUUAUAGAAGAAAAACAGGCAAUGUGAUGAUGAAAGCAGAGACUGGAGUGAUAUGCUUUGAAGAUGGAGGAAUGGGCAAUAAGCCAAGGAAUACAGGAGGCCACUAGAAGCUGAAAAAGUCAAGGAAACAGAUUCUCUCUUCAGAGCCUACAGAAAGAACCAACUCUGCUGAUACUUUGCUUUUAGCCCCAUCAGACUUCUGGCCUCCAAUACUUUAGGAGAAUAAAUUUGUGUUGUUUUAAACCACUAAAUUUCUGAUUUAUUUAUAGGAGCAAUAGCAAACUAAUACAUAGUACUUAAGCCAAAAAUUAUAGAAUUGAACUUCUCGUUUACUAUGGUGCAGUUCCA